This is a long non-coding RNA of Telopea speciosissima, 254 nucleotides long. RefSeq lists it as uncharacterized. Lineage: Eukaryota; Viridiplantae; Streptophyta; Magnoliopsida; Proteales; Proteaceae. The record is from RefSeq and is a predicted model, not a curated record. The transcript has 2 exons.
AGAAAUAAUAAAAAAAGAACUGACCUGAACUGCGCUAUGGAAGAUGCCUCCCAAACCUAUACCGUCCUUGAAGAUCUUGUUGAUCUGCAUUAUGGUGUUGUUGGUCUUUUCAGAACCACUAGCCUUUCUCUCUCUAUCUCGCUCUGAGAUUUAAUCUUGAAACCCUAAAAGCUUCAAAGUGUCCCCUCACCUCUGUAUUACUUGAUACAUGGCAUCUUUUGUAUUAUACGAUACAAAUCACUUCAAACUCCAAC